Molecule: long non-coding RNA, 471 nt
Organism: Mesocricetus auratus (golden hamster)
Lineage: Eukaryota; Metazoa; Chordata; Mammalia; Rodentia; Cricetidae
Exons: 2
Source: RefSeq, a predicted model, not a curated record
AAGAGGAAACUGAGAUCCAUCUAGAGAGGGUGGAACCACCUCCCACGCCAGACAGGGGAACUCCCAGACUGGAGCACCUAGGGAGAAAGCUGGGACCAUGAAAGGGAAGCCACCUGAGUCGCCAGUGCAGAGUCACAGGGAUUCCAGGAACACUACGAAGUCAGGAAAAUGGUGUCUCGGGACAGUCUGCAAGCCUGGCUACUCCAACCCUGGACAGGCCAGCUGUUGGUUUAGCAAGGCCAGUGCCAGGAAACAGUCACUGUCACACAGUAGCUUUUGGGCAUCGUGUUUGUCAAAGCAACGGAAGCCUAAGACCCUGGGCUAAAUAAGACACCUGUCUCAAAAAACAACAGAAACAUCAACCCCAAGGAUGGCUCUCAGCCUUGUCAAUCACACCGUGAACACCAGUUACAACCAGUAUGCGUAAGAAAACUCACAUAUAUGUACGUGCGUGUGCACACCAUGCCUUCA